RNAcentral lists this ribosomal RNA (427 nucleotides) under uncultured Steroidobacter sp. RNAcentral describes it as "bacterial SSU rRNA". It matches the Rfam family "Bacterial small subunit ribosomal RNA", at positions 353 to 772 of the family's 1533-position model. The record is from RNAcentral. Lineage: Bacteria; Pseudomonadati; Pseudomonadota; Gammaproteobacteria; Steroidobacterales; Steroidobacteraceae.
AGUGGGGAAUAUUGGACAAUGGGGGAAACCCUGAUCCAGCGACGCCGCGUGGGUGAAGAAGGCCUGCGGGUUGUAAAGCCCUUUCAGUGGGGAAGAAAAGCCUCGAGCUAAUACCUCGGGGUCUUGACGUAACCCAUAGAAGAAGCACCGGCUAACUCUGUGCCAGCAGCCGCGGUAAUACAGAGGGUGCGAGCGUUAAUCGGAAUUACUGGGCGUAAAGCGCGCGUAGGCGGCUUUGCAAGUCGGGUGUGAAAUCCCCAGGCUUAACCUGGGAACUGCAUUCGAGACUGCAUUGCUAGAGUAUGGGAGAGGGAAGUGGAAUUUCCGGUGUAGCGGUGAAAUGCGUAGAUAUCGGAAGGAACAUCAGUGGCGAAAGCGACUUCCUGGACCAAUACUGACGCUCAUGUGCGAAAGCGUGGGGAGCAAA